GUUUCUGUAGUUGAAGUACAACAAUGGCUUUUCGAGCCAUAAUUCCUGGUUAGAGCCCUGGCAGAAAUU
RNAcentral lists this transfer RNA (69 nucleotides) under Epinephelus fasciatus (blacktip grouper). Its description in RNAcentral is "tRNA-Glu". It matches the Rfam family "tRNA". From Rfam's summary of the family: Transfer RNA (tRNA) molecules are approximately 80 nucleotides in length. Their secondary structure includes four short double-helical elements and three loops (D, anti-codon, and T loops). Further hydrogen bonds mediate the characteristic L-shaped molecular structure. tRNAs have two regions of fundamental functional importance: the anti-codon, which is responsible for specific mRNA codon recognition, and the 3' end, to which the tRNAs corresponding amino acid is attached (by aminoacyl-tRNA synthetases). tRNAs cope with the degeneracy of the genetic code in two manners: having more than one tRNA (with a specific anti-codon) for a particular amino acid; and 'wobble' base-pairing, i.e. permitting non-standard base-pairing at the 3rd anti-codon position. Lineage: Eukaryota; Metazoa; Chordata; Actinopteri; Perciformes; Serranidae. The record is from RNAcentral. RNAcentral also lists the same sequence under 1 other name.